RNAcentral lists this ribosomal RNA (564 nucleotides) under uncultured bacterium. RNAcentral describes it as "partial 16S ribosomal RNA". The record is from RNAcentral.
GGAGUUAGCCGGUGCUUCUUCUGCGAGUAACGUCACAGAUGUAAGGUAUUAACUUACACCCUUUCCUCCUCGCUGAAAGUGCUUUACAACCCGAAGGCCUUCUUCACACACGCGGCAUGGCUGCAUCAGGGUUUCCCCCAUUGUGCAAUAUUCCCCACUGCUGCCUCCCGUAGGAGUCUGGGCCGUGUCUCAGUCCCAGUGUGGCUGAUCAUCCUCUCAGACCAGCUAGGGAUCGUCGCCUAGGUGAGCCUUUACCUCACCUACUAGCUAAUCCCACCUGGGCUUAUCCAUCAGCGCAAGGCCCGAAGGUCCCCUGCUUUCCCCCGUAGGGCGUAUGCGGUAUUAGCAGUCGUUUCCAACUGUUAUCCCCCACAAAUGGGCAAAUUCCCAGGCAUUACUCACCCGUCCGCCGCUCGUCAUCUUCAAAAGCAAGCUUUUGAAAUGUUACCGCUCGACUUGCAUGUGUUAGGCCUGCCGCCACGCGUUCAUCUGAGCCACUAGUACUAACUAACCUACGUACGUACGUAGGACGGCGGUCGGUCGGACGGACGGACGACGUAGUAG